RNAcentral lists this ribosomal RNA (465 nucleotides) under uncultured Klebsiella sp. Its description in RNAcentral is "bacterial SSU rRNA". It matches the Rfam family "Bacterial small subunit ribosomal RNA", at positions 338 to 795 of the family's 1533-position model. The record is from RNAcentral. Lineage: Bacteria; Pseudomonadati; Pseudomonadota; Gammaproteobacteria; Enterobacterales; Enterobacteriaceae.
CCUACGGGUGGCUGCAGUGGGGAAUAUUGCACAAUGGGCGCAAGCCUGAUGCAGCCAUGCCGCGUGUGUGAAGAAGGCCUUCGGGUUAUAAAGCACUUUCAGCGGGGAGGAAGGCGGUGAGGUUAAUAACCUCAUCGAUUGACGUUACCCGCAGAAGAAGCACCGGCUAACUCCGUGCCAGCAGCCGCGGUAAUACGGAGGGUGCAAGCGUUAAUCGGAAUUACUGGGCGUAAAGCGCACGCAGGCGGUCUGUCAAGUCGGAUGUGAAAUCCCCGGGCUCAACCUGGGAACUGCAUUCGAAACUGGCAGGCUAGAGUCUUGUAGAGGGGGGUAGAAUUCCAGGUGUAGCGGUGAAAUGCGUAGAGAUCUGGAGGAAUACCGGUGGCGAAGGCGGCCCCCUGGACAAAGACUGACGCUCAGGUGCGAAAGCGUGGGGAGCAAACAGGAUUAGAUACCCCGGUAGUC